Molecule: long non-coding RNA, 1239 nt
Organism: Stylophora pistillata
Lineage: Eukaryota; Metazoa; Cnidaria; Anthozoa; Scleractinia; Pocilloporidae
Source: RefSeq, a predicted model, not a curated record
AAUAGAUAAUCACUUCGGCAUAAUGCCGUAUGCUUCAGUAAUUAUCCAUUAAAUAUCGACCGAUUCUAAACCUAUACUCCACCAUCCUCGGAGACCCAGUAGUCUCCCUCGCAGCCGUUUUUAGUCUCGUCACGCAACGCUUCUUCCCACAAACGGCUGCUCACAUUCGAACAACAUUCCUUUCCGCUACUUCAACCAAUCACUAUUUGGGUUACAUAUGCCGAGAACUGUGCGCGCCAAAGUAGUCUAACCAAUCAUAUUGUUUGUUUCAUCUUCGAGUUCAUAGCUUUCAAAAUGGCGUCCAAUGAAGAAACGUUUGAUGUUGUUAGUAAUACAUUUCGAAUUCCUCGCAUAAAUGCGCAGCAAAAAACUGGAAUUAGGAAAAUAGUUGAGGAAAGAAAGGAUGUAUUUGUCAAUCUUCCUACUGGUUUCGGGAAAUCUCUCCUGUAUGAAGCACUACCACUCGUGUUUGAUCUUACCUCAUAAGAGCCUGGUCGUAUCGUCGUCGUUGUCUCACCAUUCGGGAAAGCCUUAUGAACGACCAAGUGUCCCAUUUGAGGAAGCUAGGGCUAAAAGCAGGUAACAUAAGUUCACUUGAGGGUGGUAAACGCACUCGUUUCGAAAGCGGCGAAGAUUCCUUACUUUACGGAUCCCUGAAGCGUGGUUAAAGAACGAACGCUGGAGAUUUAUGCUGACGAACUCUGUGUAUUCCAUGCCAAAAGACCCUGUGCCAUUGCCGUCGAUGAAGCGCAUGUUGUAAGACAGUGGGGAACAUCACAAGAUAAUUAAAUGGAAGCAUUCUGUGAGUCUUACUUGAACCUUCUGAACAUGAAAAAUGCAGUAGAAAUUAAGGAAAGUCAAAAUAAAUCAAAUGUAUAUGGAUAAGGACAUGGAGCUGGAAUUCUGUUUUGGCUGGCUUACUGAUGAACUGAAACAGAGUCAGGAAAAAACAGAAAGAACUAUUAUUUAUUGCCAGACUAUAAGAUAAUUACUUUAUGCUACCAUUAAUGUUUUACUUUAAUGUUUAUUGGAAAUGAUUCAAAACAUGUGGUUGUUGAAAUGUUGUAUUCCUGCACUCCUGAAGCUAAUAAGCAUAACAUUUUGGAGUCCUUUCACAGAGUGGUGGAAAUCACUGUGGGGGAGGGGGUUGGGGAGAACAGUACAGCUUCUUUGGCCCUCCUACUACAUUGUGGUAAGAAAACGAGUGAUCUAAUAAAUUCAUCAUAUUUUUAAAUCAGA